This 497-nucleotide ribosomal RNA is filed under the name uncultured bacterium. RNAcentral's name for it is "partial 16S ribosomal RNA". It matches the Rfam family "Bacterial small subunit ribosomal RNA", at positions 28 to 507 of the family's 1533-position model. The record is from RNAcentral.
GAUGAACGCUGGCGGCGUGCCUAAUACAUGCAAGUCGAGCGAACGGACGAGAAGCUUGCUUCUCUGAUGUUAGCGGCGGACGGGUGAGUAACACGUGGAUAACCUACCUAUAAGACUGGGAUAACUUCGGGAAACCGGAGCUAAUACCGGAUAAUAUUUUGAACCGCAUGGUUCAAAAGUGAAAGAAGGUCUUGCUGUCACUUAUAGAUGGAUCCGCGCUGCAUUAGCUAGUUGGUAAGGUAACGGCUUACCAAGGCAACGAUGCAUAGCCGACCUGAGAGGGAGGACGGCCACACUGGAACUGAGACACGGUCCAGACUCCUACGGGAGGCAGCAGUAGGGAAUCUUCCGCAAUGGGCGAAAGCCUGACGGAGCAACGCCGCGUGAGUGAUGAAGGUCUUCGGAUCGUAAAACUCUGUUAGUAGGGAAGAACAUAUGUGUAAGUAACUGUGCACAUCUUGACGGUACCUAAUCAGAAAGCCACGGCUAACUACGUG